GACGAACGCUGGCGGCGUGCUUAACACAUGCAAGUGGAGCGACGAACCAGGGCUUGCCCUGGGGCAGAGCCGCGAACGGGUGAGUAACACGUGGGUUACCUACCCCGAUGACCGGGACAACCCGAGGAAACCCGGGCUAAUACCGGAUGUGGUCUUCGGACGAAAGGAAGCUUCGGCCUCCGCAUCGGGAUGGGCCCGCGGCGCAUUAGCUUGUUGGUGGGGUAACGGCCUACCAAGGCGACGAUGCGAGCUGGUCUGAGAGGACGAUCAGCCACACUGGGACUGAGACACGGCCCAGACUCCUACGGGAGGCAGCAGUGGGGAAUCUUGCGCAAUGGGCGAAAGCCUGACGCAGCGACGCCGCGUGAGGGAUGACGGCCU
This 381-nucleotide ribosomal RNA is filed under the name uncultured bacterium. RNAcentral describes it as "bacterial SSU rRNA". It matches the Rfam family "Bacterial small subunit ribosomal RNA", at positions 28 to 417 of the family's 1533-position model. The record is from RNAcentral.